Molecule: ribosomal RNA, 484 nt
Filed under: uncultured bacterium
Lineage: Bacteria
Description: bacterial SSU rRNA
Rfam family: Bacterial small subunit ribosomal RNA
Source: RNAcentral
AUUGAACGCUGGCGGCAUGCCUUACACAUGCAAGUCGAACGGCAGCACGGGAGCAAUCCUGGUGGCGAGUGGCGAACGGGUGAGUAAUAUAUCGGAACGUGUCCAGUCGUGGGGGAUAACGUAGCGAAAGCUACGCUAAUACCGCAUACGAUCUACGGAUGAAAGCGGGGGAUCGCAAGACCUCGCGCGAUUGGAGCGGCCGAUAUCAGAUUAGGUAGUUGGUGGGGUAAAGGCCCACCAAGCCAACGAUCUGUAGCUGGUCUGAGAGGACGACCAGCCACACUGGAACUGAGACACGGUCCAGACUCCUACGGGAGGCAGCAGUGGGGAAUUUUGGACAAUGGGCGCAAGCCUGAUCCAGCAAUGCCGCGUGCAGGAUGAAGGCCUUCGGGUUGUAAACUGCUUUUGUACGGAACGAAAAGGCUCUGGUUAAUACCUGGGGCUCAUGACGGUACCGUAAGAAUAAGCACCGGCUAACUACGUG